AAUGGCCUAACGGCUGAACCAGCAACUUGGAAGAAUGUAAAACGAUUAUAUCGUAUAAAAUUCUGGAUAAAAACUGAUAAUGACAAUUGUUUAUCUAUAAGUCUUGUCUAAAUUACGUGCCAGCAGACGCGGUAAUACGUAAAAGACUAGUGUUAUUCAUCUUCAAUGGGUUUAAAGGGUACCUAGACGGAAAAUAAAGCCUAAUAAGGAACUAAUUUUCUAGAGUUUAAUAAGAGAAGGUAGAACUUGUGGAGUAGAGUUGAUAUUCUUUUAUACUGUUAAGACUGAUAACGGCGAAGGCAACCUUUUAGAAAAAA
Molecule: ribosomal RNA, 317 nt
Filed under: Eurotiomycetes AZ0963
Lineage: Eukaryota; Fungi; Ascomycota; Eurotiomycetes
Description: SSU rRNA
Rfam family: Bacterial small subunit ribosomal RNA
Source: RNAcentral